RNAcentral lists this long non-coding RNA (862 nucleotides) under Pongo abelii (Sumatran orangutan). RNAcentral's name for it is "lincRNA". The record is from RNAcentral. Lineage: Eukaryota; Metazoa; Chordata; Mammalia; Primates; Hominidae.
GAGAGAAAUCACACUACCAUCAAAGACAAUGGGUCAAAGAGAAUGCCAUCCUAAGCUGAGAAGCCAUCUUCCCAAUGACAUCCAUGUAAUGUGAAAGGGAAAAACAUACUGUUAUUGAAGAACUUAUCAGCUAUGACACAUCAUCCACACAAAUACUCAGGAAAGUUAAAAGAAAAUUUCACCUUGGACACAGUUGACGAUUGCUAAAGUCCUAUUGCAUGCUUUAAGAUGCCUUGCAUUUGGUGAAUUGAAGCCUGAUAUGUCAACAUAUUCUCUGUAAACAAGCAGUACAGAGGGCAAAGAAACACUUAUCAAGCACCACAGCUAGGACAAAAAGAAUUAUUUUGACAGUAAAUGGACUUGCAGCUUAAGGUUGGUGUGUAUCAAAUUGUGACUAAACCAAAAGAAGCAAAUCUGGAAACUGAAGUACCAAUACGUGAAAAGAGUUCUUUUGGUAUUGGGAGUGCCAGUUGUCUUUGUUCAUGAAAUACUUCUUCGUAAUAGACAGCAUGCAGCCGUCUUCAAGAGCUAAAAUAGCAUCCUCCAGGAUAAACAGGAAUACUACACUCUUCCUUAAAUAACAACAACUGUGGCUGGGCGUGGUGGCUCACACCUGUAAUCCCAGCACUUUGGGAGGCCAAGGGGGGCGGAUCACGAAGUCAGGAGAUCAAGACCAUCCUGGCUAACACGGUGAAACCCCGUCUCUACUAAAAAUACAAAAAAUUACACAGGCGCGGUGGCGGGCGCCUAUAGUCCCAGCUACUCCAGAGGCUGAGGCGGGAGAAUGGCGUGAACCUGGGAGGCGGAGCUUGCAAUGAGCCAAGAUCACUCCAUCCUGGGCAACAGGGCGAGACUCUGUCUC